RNAcentral lists this ribosomal RNA (253 nucleotides) under uncultured bacterium. RNAcentral's name for it is "partial 16S ribosomal RNA". It matches the Rfam family "Bacterial small subunit ribosomal RNA", at positions 524 to 776 of the family's 1533-position model. The record is from RNAcentral.
GACGAGGGAUCCUAGCGUUGUUCGGAAUCAUUGGGCGUAAAGCGGGCGUAGGUGGCUUUGUAAGUCGGGUGUGAAAUCCCUGGGCUCAACCCAGGACGUGCACACGAUACCGCUUAGCUUGAAUGUGGAAGAGGUGAGUGGAAUUCCUGGUGUAGUGGUGAAAUACGUAGAUAUCAGGAGGAACACCGGUGGCGAAGGCGGCUCACUGGUCCAACAUUGACACUGAAGCCCGAAAGCGUGGGGAUCAAACAGG